This 942-nucleotide ribosomal RNA is filed under the name Mucor irregularis. RNAcentral's name for it is "eukaryotic LSU rRNA". It matches the Rfam family "Eukaryotic large subunit ribosomal RNA", at positions 81 to 932 of the family's 3401-position model. The record is from RNAcentral. Lineage: Eukaryota; Fungi; Mucoromycota; Mucoromycetes; Mucorales; Mucoraceae.
UAGUAACGGCGAGUGAAGAGGAAAGAGCUCAAAGUUGGAACCUGUUUGGCUUAGCUAAACCGGAUUGUAAACUGUAGAAGUGUUUUCCAGACACGCCUGGUAAAAAAGUCCUUUGGAACAGGGCAUCAUAGAGGGUGAGAAUCCCGUCAUUGGCCAGAGCUGUUGUCUUUUGUGAUACAUUUUCAAAGAGUCAGGUUGUUUGGGAAUGCAGCCUAAAUUGGGUGGUAAAUCUCACCUAAAGCUAAAUAUUUGCGAGAGACCGAUAGCGAACAAGUACCGUGAGGGAAAGAUGAAAAGAACUUUGAAAAGAGAGUUAAACAGUAUGUGAAAUUGUUAAAAGGGAACCGUUUGGAGCCAGACUGGCUUGAUCGUAAUCACUCUAGGCUUUGGCCUGGAUGCACUUGCGGUCUAUGCCGGCCAACGACAGUUUUGUUUGAGGGAAAAAAUUACAUUGAAUGUGGCCCUUCGGGGUGUUAUAGCUUUGUAAAAAAUACCUUGGACGGGACUGAGGAACGCAGCGAAUGCCUUUAGGCGAGAUUGCUGGGUGCUUGCGCUGAUACAUGCUAGAAUUUCUGCUUCGGGUGGUGCUAGUGUGUAAAGGAGUAACCCGCUUAGUAUAUUUUUUAUUCGCUUAGGUUGUUGGCUUAAUGACUCUAAAUGACCCGUCUUGAAACACGGACCAAGGAGUCCACCAUUAGUGCAAGUAUUUGGGUGACAAACCCAUAUGCGCAAGGAAACUGAUUGAUACGAAGGCGCAAGCUGGCAGUAUCACCCGGCGUUGACGUUUUAUACUGAACUGACCGAGGUAAAGCACUAAUGAUGGGACCCGAAAGAUGGUGAACUAUGCCUGAAUAGGGUGAAGCCGGAGGAAACUCCGGUGGAGGCUCGUAGCGAUUCUGACGUGCAAAUCGAUCGUCAAAUUUGGGUAUAGGGCGAAAGACU